AACUAACGCUGGCGGCGUGCCUAACACAUGCAAGUCGUACGAGAAAGUUGGCUUCGGCCGAUGAGUAAAGUGGCGCACGGGUGAGUAAUGCGUGGAUAAUCUGCCCUUUAGUUGGGAAUAACGUACCGAAAGGUGCGCUAAUACCUGAUAAUACUGCAUAACUACUGUUGUGUAGUCAAAGAAGGCCUCUGUUUACAAGCUUUUGCUGAAGGAUGAGUCCGCGUACCAUUAGCUGGUUGGUGGGGUAAUGGCCUACCAAGGCUACGAUGGUUAGCCGGCCUGAGAGGGUGAUCGGCCACACUGGGACUGAGACACGGCCCAGACUCCUACGGGAGGCAGCAGUGGGGAAUAUUGCACAAUGGGCGAAAGCCUGAUGCAGCGACGCCGCGUGGGGGAUGACGGUCUUCGGAUUGUAAACCCCUUUCAGUAGGGACGAAGCGCAAGUGACGGUACCUGCAGAAGAAGCACCGGCCAACUACGUGCCAGCAGCCGCGGUAAAACG
This 502-nucleotide ribosomal RNA is filed under the name uncultured bacterium. RNAcentral's name for it is "bacterial SSU rRNA". It matches the Rfam family "Bacterial small subunit ribosomal RNA", at positions 29 to 527 of the family's 1533-position model. The record is from RNAcentral.